GUGUGUGUGUAUAUAUAUAUAUUACUUUGCACGUUUUUUUAUAGAAUGCUUAGAAAUGUCGAACUAGAGAUGCGUUCUGGGUAGUUGUGAGUAAUGCCAUUUUUUACUUUCUCAUUGCUGUUACUAGAAUUUUUUUUUUCCUCUUUAUUGAGUCUUUGGUGCUGGAUUUAAGUAUCCAAUAUGUACUCAUAGGUGAUUGGCAUUUGAAUUUUCUCAAUAGAAUCUCUUAGUGGGGAAUGCUUGAAUGUACCUUUCUUCCUAGUUCUGAUUACAAUGCUCUCUGAUAAGAAUCAUGACUUGGAAAUUUUGAUAUGUCGAACUGCAGAGGAUCAUUUUCCUAUUUCCAACUUUGAGUGUUGAUUUAACUUCGCUUGCAUAGCUUCAGGAGACUAUAUUCUAGUACUGAUUUAGAAGCCAAUUGGAUAUGAAUAUGC
Molecule: unclassified non-coding RNA, 434 nt
Filed under: Hevea brasiliensis (rubber tree)
Lineage: Eukaryota; Viridiplantae; Streptophyta; Magnoliopsida; Malpighiales; Euphorbiaceae
Source: RNAcentral